This 433-nucleotide ribosomal RNA is filed under the name uncultured bacterium. RNAcentral describes it as "partial 16S ribosomal RNA". It matches the Rfam family "Bacterial small subunit ribosomal RNA", at positions 29 to 507 of the family's 1533-position model. The record is from RNAcentral.
AACGAACGCUGGCGGCAGGCCUAACACAUGCGAGUCGAGCGCGCCCUUCGGGGUGAGCGGCGGACGGGUGAGUAACGCGUGGGAACGUGCCCUUUUCUACGGAAUAGCCUCGGGAAACUGAGAGUAAUACCGUAUACGCCCUUUGGGGGAAAGAUUUAUCGGAAAAGGAUCGGCCCGCGUUGGAUUAGGUAGUUGGUGGGGUAAUGGCCUACCAAGCCGACGAUCCAUAGCUGGUUUGAGGGGAUGAUCAGCCACACUGGGACUGAGACACGGCCCAGACUCCUACGGGAGGCAGCAGUGGGGAAUCUUAGACAAUGGGGGCAACCCUGAUCUAGCCAUGCCGCGUGAGUGAUGAAGGCCUUAGGGUUGUAAAGCUCUUUCAGCUGGGAAGAUAAUGACGGUACCAGCAGAAGAAGCCCCGGCUAACUCCGUG